CCUACAGGGAGAAGGGAAGAGGAUUGCAAGGGCAGAAGCACCUGGGGAGAGCCCGCACCCAGACCUUCCGGAGCCGGCUGGCCGGCCAGGAGGACUUCCCACCCAUACAGCCACUUCUGGGUGCCCCCUCCACCCGAGGCUCUAGACGACCCCACCAGCCCAGAACUUUACUAGCCCGCUGAACCUUUCAGGCCUUCUCUGCUUUGGUCCGUUCCUCAGAGGCAGGGGCCCAGGCUACCUUGGAACUAACUGCACCAAGCCAAGCCCGCAGCCAUCUUUGGCAUCAGGGGUACAGGCCACUGCACCCAACUCCUGCUCUUUUCCCUUUCUUUUCUUUUUUCAGACAGAGUCUUGCUAUAUUGCUCUGGCUGGCCUUGAACUUGUAGCAAUCCUCCUGCCUCUGCCUCCUGUGUGCCAGGAUUGCAAGCAUGUGCCACCAUGCUCAACUUUCAGGGUGUCUUCUCUUUUUAAAUUCAUGUGUGUAGCGGUGUCUUGUGUGUGUGUCUGUGUGCACACCAGAAGAGGGUACCGGGCCCCAUGGGACUAUAGCCAUAGACAGUUGGGAGCUGUCAUAUGGGCGCUGGGAAUUGAACUCGGGACCUCUGGAAGAGAAGCCAGUGCUCUUAUCUCCAGCCUGCAUUGUGACUUUUCAUUCUUUCUUUCUUUUUGGUUUUUCAGACAGGGUUUCUCUGUGUAGCCCCGGCUAUGGCUCACUCUGUAGACCAGGUUGGUCUCGAACCCACAGAGACCCUCCUGCCUCUGCCUCUGCGUGCCACCGUGCCCAGCAUCUUUUCACAACUGCACUGUGAGCUUGUGAGACGGCAGCCAGCUCAGUGGAUAGUGUGUGAGCCUCACAACCUGAAUGUGAUCCAAGAGCCCACGGAAAGCCUUGGCUGUCCUGGAACUCACUGAGACCCGCCUGCCUCUGCCUCUCAGGGGCUGACGUUAAAGACGUGCGCGCCGCCUAAGCUGUAAAUGGUUCCUGAAGACCACACUGCACGCAGCUGCUGGCCACUGCGCGCCACGGCAGCCAGGCUCCACCCGCCAGCGCCUGUCAGCUUCUCCAACAGGGAGUGCUCCUCAAACACUCCUGACGCUACAGGAACUGGGACGACCGAAACGUCCAGGCUAGCCUUGAAUUCACGAACCCAAAGCAAUCCUGCUGCCUCAGUCUCCCUACCGCCGAAACGACACGCAUGAACCGCUCAGCACGCGUGGCUCCGCCCAGCUCUACGCGCACUGUCUGGAACACGUGUGGAACACGCAGUCCUUACACUUCCGAGUAGGAAUCGGCUUACCCCACCCAGUUGCCAAACAAAAAUAAGACAUAAAAAGUCAAGGAGGGCUGAGACAUCUCUCGGCACGGAGCAUCUGCCUCGUAUCCACGAGGCCUGAGCCCCAGCCUCAGCCACACGCACACGCAGGCACCAACACACAGCAGCAGCCAAACCAAAAUAGAAACGAUGUUGUCCCAAAUCUGGAAGUCUCCGCAGUGGGGUGUACCAGGCUGGGGCGCCACGGAGGGCGGGGCUCUCCGCCGCGCUCUGCCGGGCCUGAGAGCCGGGAGCGCGCGCAGGACUGACCCUUCGUGCUGAUACCGCGCAGGUCGGUGAUCUUCAUGAGCAUCCGCGGGAACAUGUAGGGCUGGCUGGGCCUCCGGCGCCGCGCGUACAGCCUCAGCGCCUCCAGCAGCGGCUCCUGCAGCCUGUCCACCUUCUCGGGCUCCUCCAGGUCCAUGCGGUCUACACAGACACAGCGGCGGCGGCCUCAGAGCCCUCGCUACUGGCACACGGCCCCCAGGGCGCGCCCCUUAAGGAAGGCCGCAGCCAGGCUUGCGCGUGCCCUACCCUCCGCCUCCUUCCUCUUCCCCUAGCUCGGCGAGCCGGAGAGCCUACCCACGAUCUGGGAAGUCGGUAAGGUGGGUGGGCGGCAACAGUUCCCCGAAGAGAUCCCCAGGCCUCCCCCCGACCGGCUGGGGCGUGGCGGGAGAGGGAGCCCGCGAAGACGCCAGGGGGCGCCCCCGCACCUCCGCAGAUGAGGCAGAUGGCGCUGAGCAGCCCGGUCUCCGUGUCAUCCAUCUCCAGGGGCAGGAGCUGCCCAGCAAAGGCAAAGACGAGGUCUGUGAGGGGCCCAAAGCCGGCGUUGUGCAUCUGGGUACGGUUCAGGGUCAGCCCGUCCGAGAACGUCAUGGUGUCCUGCUCCGGGGUGUACCUCGUGCAGAUCCGCAGCAUCUGGACGUGGGCACGGGGAAGGACGGUGGUUAGCGCUGCCUCUGAGCAAGGCCUCCUAAGUAAAACCGAGGAGUAAGGCAGCGCGGCGGAGCUCUGCGACGGAAAGGGCAGGCCGGGCCAACCAGGACGCAAAGGCUUGGCCCGCAACCCCCAGGCCUCACUCACUAGGAUGUCCAGGCAGGCAGCCUUGAGCAGAGUGAUCUGGUCGGCGAUGCUGAGUCCUGUGAAACCAGGCAAGCGCUUGGCGAACUCCACGAUUUUGAUGAUGCACUUGGUGGCCAGCUCGCUGAACUUGUCCCACAGCCCCAGGUCCAGCUGCACCCGGUGAUCUGCACUGGAGUUCUGCGGGGAGGAAGGGGGGUCGGAAGUGUAAAGGACCCCCGCCCCCAACGGGAGCGCCCCCGCUGCAGCCGACCCCAGCCAUGCCUGACCCGAGGCACGCAGGGCCCUCCCUCAGCCGGGCGCUGCCCACUCCUCACCGUGGUGUACUUGCCCAGCUGGCAGAGCGAGGGGAACGUCUCCUGGUGGGCUUUGCUGACCUUGGUGAUGAGCUCUUCCAACUGUGGACUCAGCUCAUAGCUGUCAGGUGAGCUCUCCUCCUUUACCUCUUUCUUCUUCUUGUUCCGGUCAUUCCUUACAGCUUGUGGUUGGAGGCAAAGGGAAGGAUCAACACUCUCAGCAUCUCUCUGACUCUCCCUCAGCCUAGCUCAGUGCGUUCACUUCUCACUGAGAAUAUAGAUUUAUUCCCCGGAGCCCUAAUUAGUGCCUUAGUUUCCCUCUCUGCUACGUAAGUUCCUAUUUCCAGGCUGCUCUGCCCCGGCCCCACCCAGGGCCUACAGCCUGCUCUCUCCCCAGGCCAAAGCGGCUCCAUCCUGCCCUUCCGGUUGCCCUGCAGGAGCUGGGGGCAGGAUAUGCAGGCAGGAUAUCCACUUAUAGCCUUGGCAGCACAAUGGUGGGGGGGGCAGAAAGGAGGGGCCAUCUCAGCACCAUCUCACGAUCUGUCCCGUGAAAGACCAGCCCCGCUCUCUGCCCACCAAACAGAAGAGGGGCCCCAAUGCCAGGUUUCAGAGCGGGGAGGCUGGCAGAGGCCUUGGCCGGCAGGGCGGGAGGGCGAGCACCCACCUUCCUUGGACAUGCCCACUUGGAAACACUUCUGCAGCCGGCAGUACUGGCAGCGGUUCCGGGUCACCUUGUUGAUGAUGCAGUUCUUGUCGCGGUGACACGUGUACACCAUGUUCUUCUGGAUGCUGCGUCUGAAGAAGCCCUGGGUGGGGGCGCAGGAGAGUGUUUCCUAAACAACACAGUGGCCCGGCCCUGACCCAGCCUGCUGUUUGUUUGUCUAGGGUGCGAGUGUGAAGGAGAGAGUGAGAGAACCAGGGCUUCUGCACCCAACAGCUGAGCUACAUCCCCAGCACCUCACCCAAGCUGUCCCUUGUGCGUGCGGCACGGGCAAAACUCGUGUGAGGACAGCACCUGGUUCCCUCGUCUUUAAAAUGCUUUUUAUCCAUCUGUCCAUCUGUCUGUCUAUCUAUCGAUCACUAUCUUUGGUCUUUAGUUAGUUAGUUUUUUAAGACAGGGUUUCCCCGUGUAUCCCUGGCUGUCCCGGACUCACUCUGUAGCCCAGGCUGGCCUCGAACUCACAGAGAUCCUCCUGCCUCUGCCUCCCAAGCGCUGAGAUUAAAGACAUGUGCACCACCA
Long non-coding RNA from Meriones unguiculatus (Mongolian gerbil), 3929 nucleotides. RefSeq lists it as uncharacterized. The transcript has 2 exons. Lineage: Eukaryota; Metazoa; Chordata; Mammalia; Rodentia; Muridae. The record is from RefSeq and is a predicted model, not a curated record.